Molecule: ribosomal RNA, 433 nt
Filed under: uncultured bacterium
Lineage: Bacteria
Description: partial 16S ribosomal RNA
Rfam family: Bacterial small subunit ribosomal RNA
Source: RNAcentral
AACGAACGCUGGCGGCAUGCCUAACACAUGCAAGUCGAACGAAACCUCCGGGACUAUUCGCGCACGGUUGUAUAACGCGUGGGAACCUUCCCUUAGGUACAGAAUACCUCCCCGAAAGGGGUACUAACACCAGACAAUAUCUUCUAACCAAAGAUUUAUUGCCCUUGAAUGGUCGCGCGUUGGAUUCGCUGGUUGGUAGGGUAAUAGCAUCCCACGGCGACGAUCCAUAGCUGGUAUGAGGGGAUGAUCAGCGACACAGGGACUCAGACACGGCCCGGACUCCUACGGGAGGCAGGAGUGGGUAAUAUUGGACAAUGGGCGGAAGCCUGAUGCAGCAAUGACGGGUGAGUGAUGAAGGCCUUAGAGAUGUAAAGCUCUUUUACCCGGGAUGAUAAUGACAGUACCGGGAGAAUAAGCUCCGGCUAACUACGUG